AACGAACGCUGGCGGCAGGCUUAACACAUGCAAGUCGAGCGCCCCGCCAGGGGGGCGGCGGACGGGUGAGUAACGCGUGGGAACGUACCUUUUGGUUCGUCACAACUCCGGGAAACUGGAGCUAAUACCGGAUAAGCCCUAACGUGGUAAGAUUUAUCGCCUAAAGAUCGGCCCGCGUCUGAUUAGCUCGUUGGUGGGGUAACGGCUCACCAGUGCGACGAUCAGGAGCUUGUCUGAGAGGAUGAUCAGCCACACUGGGACUGAGACACGGCCCAGACUCCUACGGGAGGGAGCAGUGGGGAAUAUUGGAAAAUGGGGGCAAGCAUGAUCCAGCCAGGCCGGGUGAGUGAUGAAGGCCUUAGGGUUGUAAAGCUCUUUUGUCCGGGAAGAUAAUGACUGUACCGGAAGAAUAAGCCCCGGCUAACUUCGUG
Molecule: ribosomal RNA, 431 nt
Filed under: uncultured bacterium
Lineage: Bacteria
Description: partial 16S ribosomal RNA
Rfam family: Bacterial small subunit ribosomal RNA
Source: RNAcentral